GGACUACUGGGGUUUCUAAUCCUGUUUGCUCCCCACGCUUUCGCGUCUCAGCGUCAGAAACGAGCCAGGAAGUCGCCUUCGCCACUGAUGUUCCUCCUGAUAUCUACGGAUUUCACCCCUACACCAGGAAUUCCACUUCCCUCUCUCGCCCUCUAGCCAAGCAGUAUCCAGUGCACUUCCGGGGUUGGGCCCCGGGCUUUCACACCAGACUUACUUGGCCGCCUACACGCGCUUUACGCCCAAUGAUUCCGAACAACGCUUGCACCCUCCGUAUUACCGCGGCUGCUGGCACGGAGUUAGCCGGUGCUUCUUCUGCGGGUACCGUCAAGUUGCCCUUCGUCCCCGCUGAAAGAGGUUUACGACCCGAGGGCCUUCGUCCCUCACGCGGCAUUGCUGGAUC
This 400-nucleotide unclassified non-coding RNA is filed under the name uncultured fungus. RNAcentral's name for it is "sequence contains ITS1". Lineage: Eukaryota; Fungi. The record is from RNAcentral.